UACGAAGGGUGCAAACGUUGCUCGGAAUUAUUGGGCGUAAAGCGCACGUAGGCGGCUUUUCAAGUCCCAUGUGAAAGCCCACGGCUUAACCGUGGAAGUGCAUGGGAAACUGGAAGCUUGAGUACUUAAGAGGAUCGCGGAAUUCCCGGUGUAGAGGUGAAAUUCGUAGAUAUCGGGGAGGAACACCAGUGGCGAAGGCGGCGAUCUGGGAAGAUACUGACGCUGAGGUGCGAAAGCGUGGGGAGCAAACAGG
This 253-nucleotide ribosomal RNA is filed under the name uncultured bacterium. Its description in RNAcentral is "partial 16S ribosomal RNA". It matches the Rfam family "Bacterial small subunit ribosomal RNA", at positions 524 to 776 of the family's 1533-position model. The record is from RNAcentral.